RNAcentral lists this ribosomal RNA (254 nucleotides) under uncultured bacterium. RNAcentral describes it as "partial 16S ribosomal RNA". It matches the Rfam family "Bacterial small subunit ribosomal RNA", at positions 524 to 777 of the family's 1533-position model. The record is from RNAcentral.
UACGGGGGGGGCAAGCGUUGUUCGGAAUUACUGGGCGUAAAGGGCGCGUAGGCGCCUUCUAAGUCAGACGUGAAAUCCCUCGGCUCAACCGAGGAACUGCGUUCUGAUACUGGAAGGCUUGAAUCCGGGAGAGGGAUGUGGAAUUCCUGGGUGUAGCGGUGGAAUGCGCAGAUAUCAGGAGGAACACCGGUGGCGAAGGCGGGACCUGGGCCAGUCUGACGCUGAGGAGCGAAAGCGUGGGGGAGCAAACAGGG